Molecule: ribosomal RNA, 254 nt
Filed under: uncultured bacterium
Lineage: Bacteria
Description: partial 16S ribosomal RNA
Rfam family: Bacterial small subunit ribosomal RNA
Source: RNAcentral
UACGUAGGGCGCAAGCGUUAUCCGGAAUUAUUGGGCGUAAAGGGCUCGUAGGCGGUUUGUCGCGUCGGGGAGUGAAAACUCAGGGCUUAACCCUGAGCCUGCUUCCGAUACGGGCAGACUAGAGGUAUGCAGGGGAGAAUGGAAUUCCUGGUGUAGCGGUGAAAUGCGCAGAUAUCAGGAGGAACACCGGUGGCGAAGGCGGUUCUCUGGGCAUUACCUGACGCUGAGGAGCGAAAGUGUGGGGAGCGAACAGG